UCCUGGAUUCAGCGGCGGACGGGUGAGUAAUGCCUAGGAAUCUGCCUGGUAGUGGGGGAUAACGUCCGGAAACGGGCGCUAAUACCGCAUACGUCCUGAGGGAGAAAGUGGGGGAUCUUCGGACCUCACGCUAUCAGAUGAGCCUAGGUCGGAUUAGCUAGUUGGUGGGGUAAAGGCCUACCAAGGCGACGAUCCGUAACUGGUCUGAGAGGAUGAUCAGUCACACUGGAACUGAGACACGGUCCAGACUCCUACGGGAGGCAGCAGUGGGGAAUAUUGGACAAUGGGCGAAAGCCUGAUCCAGCCAUGCCGCGUGUGUGAAGAAGGUCUUCGGAUUGUAAAGCACUUUAAGUUGGGAGGAAGGGCAGUAAGUUAAUACCUUGCUGUUUUGACGUUACCAACAGAAUAAGCACCGGCUAACUUCGUGCCAGCAGCCGCGGUAAUACGAAGGGUGCAAGCGUUAAUCGGAAUUACUGGGCGUAAAGCGCGCGUAGGUGGUUCAGCAAGUUGGAUGUGAAAUCCCCGGGCUCAACCUGGGAACUGCAUCCAAAACUACUGAGCUAGAGUACGGUAGAGGGUGGUGGAAUUUCCUGUGUAGCGGUGAAAUGCGUAGAUAUAGGAAGGAACACCAGUGGCGAAGGCGACCACCUGGACUGAUACUGACACUGAGGUGCGAAAGCGUGGGGAGCAAACAGGAUUAGAU
RNAcentral lists this ribosomal RNA (703 nucleotides) under uncultured Pseudomonadaceae bacterium. Its description in RNAcentral is "SSU rRNA". It matches the Rfam family "Bacterial small subunit ribosomal RNA", at positions 84 to 783 of the family's 1533-position model. Lineage: Bacteria; Pseudomonadati; Pseudomonadota; Gammaproteobacteria; Pseudomonadales; Pseudomonadaceae. The record is from RNAcentral.